UACAGAGGUCUCAAGCGUUGUUCGGAUUCAUUGGGCGUAAAGGGUGCGUAGGUGGCGCUGUAAGUCGGGUGUGAAAUUUCGGAGCUUAACUCCGAAACUGCAUUCGAUACUGCGGUGCUUGAGGACUGGAGGGGAGACUGGAAUUCAUGGUGUAGCAGUGAAAUGCGUAGAGAUCAUGAGGAAGACCAGUGGCGAAGGCGGGUCUCUGGACAGUUCCUGACACUGAGGCACGAAGGCCAGGGGCGCAAACGGG
This 253-nucleotide ribosomal RNA is filed under the name uncultured bacterium. RNAcentral's name for it is "partial 16S ribosomal RNA". It matches the Rfam family "Bacterial small subunit ribosomal RNA", at positions 524 to 776 of the family's 1533-position model. The record is from RNAcentral.